Molecule: ribosomal RNA, 469 nt
Filed under: uncultured bacterium
Lineage: Bacteria
Description: partial 16S ribosomal RNA
Rfam family: Bacterial small subunit ribosomal RNA
Source: RNAcentral
GACGAACGCUGGCGGCGUGCUUAACACAUGCAAGUCGAACGGUGAAGCGAGUGCUUGCACUCGUGGAUCAGUGGCGAACGGGUGAGUAACACGUGAGUAACCUGCCCAUCACUCUGGGAUAAGCACUGGAAACGGUGUCUAAUACUGGAUACGACCAACCCUUGCAUGGGGUGUUGGUGGAAAGAUUUAUCGGUGAUGGAUGGACUCGCGGCCUAUCAGCUUGUUGGCGGGGUAAUGGCCCACCAAGGCGACGACGGGUAGCCGGCCUGAGAGGGUGACCGGCCACACUGGGACUGAGACACGGCCCAGACUCCUACGGGAGGCAGCAGUGGGGAAUAUUGCACAAUGGGCGAAAGCCUGAUGCAGCGACGCCGCGUGAGGGAUGACGGCCUUCGGGUUGUAAACCUCUUUCAGCAGGGAAGAAGCGAAAGCGACGGUACCUGCAGAAGAAGCACCGGCUAACUACGUG